Molecule: long non-coding RNA, 266 nt
Organism: Gymnodraco acuticeps
Lineage: Eukaryota; Metazoa; Chordata; Actinopteri; Perciformes; Bathydraconidae
Exons: 3
Source: RefSeq, a predicted model, not a curated record
AUUUUGCUUCCGCCACCGGCGUAGCGGAGGGUCUUCCUGGCGAUGCCCGUCAAGUAGCCGUAACAUAGAGAGCAUGAAACUCUCUCCUCUCUGCCUGAUCGGGCCAAGCUAAGGCUUUAAAGAACCGCUGCUGUUUUGCUGCACCGAAAAGAGACGGGUUUCUGGCGCAGGGUCAUCACCCGUACUGCUGAUCCUGUGUGCUGCUAAAGUGCUAGUUGAUUGUCUGCAUCUGGCUAUCGUGUCCGGUCCGGUUUGGCAUUGCCUAC